AUAAAUGCAUUCAUAUCAAAUAACAAUAAGUGUGUUAGAAAAUUACAAGCAGUAAUUGAAAAUCCAACAGCAUGAAUGAAGAUAGGAAUUAAAAAAAAAGGGUUUCUCAAUUCAACCAAGCCUUAAUCUCAAUCUGGAGCCAACAAGGAAAAAUAAAAAACAGAGAACAUCAAGAGAGAUGAGAGAGUUUGGGACUACGUUUGAUAAAUUAGAAUUUUCCUUUCUCCCUCUCUCCCACGCACACAGAGGGACACCAUAGUUCCCAAAAAAACCAGAGUUUGGGACUAUGUCUGAUCAAUUAGAAUUUUCCUUUCUCCCUCUCUCCCACGCACACAGAGGGACACCAUAGUUCCCAAAAAAACCAGAGUUUGGGACUAUGUCUGAUC
This 386-nucleotide unclassified non-coding RNA is filed under the name Hevea brasiliensis (rubber tree). The record is from RNAcentral. Lineage: Eukaryota; Viridiplantae; Streptophyta; Magnoliopsida; Malpighiales; Euphorbiaceae.